This 301-nucleotide ribosomal RNA is filed under the name uncultured bacterium. Its description in RNAcentral is "partial 16S ribosomal RNA". It matches the Rfam family "Bacterial small subunit ribosomal RNA", at positions 509 to 809 of the family's 1533-position model. The record is from RNAcentral.
CAGUCGCCGCGGUAAUACGUAGGGUGCGAGCGUUAAUCGGAAUUACUGGGCGUAAGGCGUGCGCAGGCGGUUGUGUAAGACAGGUGUGAAAUCCCCGGGCUUAACCUGGGAACUGCGCUUGUGACUGCACAGCUAGAGUAUGGCAGAGGGGGGUGGAAUUCCACGUGUAGCAGUGAAAUGCGUAGAGAUGUGGAGGAACAUCAGUGGCGAAGGCGGCCAUCUGGGACAACACUGACGCUGAGGCACGAAAGCGUGGGGAGCAAACAGGAUUAGAUACCCCUGUAGUCCCUGUCUCUUAUAA